GUGCUUACUUAGGUAGCACAUAUGCUAAAAUCGGAAUGAUACAGAGAUUAGCAUGGCCCUUGUGCAAGGAUGAAAUGCAAAUUCGUGAAGUAUUCCAUAUUAUA
Molecule: small nuclear RNA, 104 nt
Organism: Jaculus jaculus (lesser Egyptian jerboa)
Lineage: Eukaryota; Metazoa; Chordata; Mammalia; Rodentia; Dipodidae
Source: Ensembl